Molecule: ribosomal RNA, 435 nt
Filed under: uncultured bacterium
Lineage: Bacteria
Description: partial 16S ribosomal RNA
Rfam family: Bacterial small subunit ribosomal RNA
Source: RNAcentral
AGCGAACGCUGGCGGCAGGCUUAACACAUGCAAGUCGAGCGGGCAUCUCCGGAUUUCUGCGGCAGACGGGUGUGUAACACGUGGGAACGUACCCUUCGGUUCGGUACAACUCUGGGAAACUGGAGCUAAUACCGGAUACGCCUCUAUGGGGAAAGUUUUACUGCCGAAGGAUGGGCCCGCGUCUGAUUAGCUAGUUGGUGGGGUAACGGCCUACCAAGGCGACGAUCAGUAGCUGGUCUGAGAGGAUGAUCAGCCACACUGGGACUGAGACACGGCCCAGACUCCUACGGGAGGCAGCAGUGGGGAAUAUUGGACAAUGGGCGCAAGCCUGAUCCAGCCAUGCCGCGUGAGUGAUGAAGGCCUUAGGGUUGUAAAGCUCUUUUGUCCGGGACGAUAAUGACGGUACCGGAAGAAUAAGCCCCGGCUAACUUCGUG